This is a small nucleolar RNA of Jaculus jaculus (lesser Egyptian jerboa), 135 nucleotides long. RefSeq annotates it as small nucleolar RNA SNORA72. The transcript has a single exon. NCBI's taxonomy places the organism in Eukaryota, Metazoa, Chordata, Mammalia, Rodentia, Dipodidae. The record is from RefSeq and is a predicted model, not a curated record.
GUGUGAAUAUUCUUGCUGUUCUGAUUUUGUAAUAAUCUGGUUAGGUUAAACAUUCACUAUAUUAAGACCAUGCAUGUGUCCUGAGGCCUAGGUCUUUUCUUUCCAUAGGUUUUUGUUUGUUUGUUUGUUUUUAAU